This 628-nucleotide long non-coding RNA is filed under the name Gorilla gorilla gorilla (western lowland gorilla). Its description in RNAcentral is "lncRNA (ENSGGOG00000044638.1)". The record is from RNAcentral. Lineage: Eukaryota; Metazoa; Chordata; Mammalia; Primates; Hominidae.
CCGGGGCUUUCAGCACAGAUGAGAAGUCUAAAAAUUUCCCUUUUCAUUUCCUCUCUUGUGUGACUUUGUCAUUUUUAAAAAAACUGGUCACAGAAAAGGGAAUUUUGCCCAUGCUUUUAAGGAGUUUAUCUCGACUGAGUAGCUUCCCUGCCACUCCUCUAAAAUCCCUCCUCAAAAACCCCAAGUUAAAAAAAAAAAAAGAUCUAUUCUUGUAGAUUUUUUUGUGUGGGUCUAUGUUUCAUUCAUCUGCUUUCAGGCCGGAUUUAUAACAAGCAGAUCUUUUAAAACGCUUCAGGAAAAAGAGGACCUUAGAACUGAAGGAGCAAGAUUCCAACAUCACACUGUUUUUGUUAGCUGUGUGUGUGUGUUUCCUGUGUAUCCAAAAGACAGAGGAGAUGAAAAAGCAAAAGAAAAGAAACGAGGAAUCAGAUUGGAAAGAAGGUUUCUCCAGAACGUCACCUGUAUGAGGUACACAGUGUGAUGACACACUCUGUGCUUUUCCUACUUGUGUCCAUGUGAGUGUCUGGAGCUGCCCUUCAAGGAAAGCAACAGAUGAAUGAUUUUGCCUUCCUGCUGAGAGGGAUGCGGGUCCUGCGGAUGGUCGGGGUGAAGCUUCCUCUCCUUUCUG